This 133-nucleotide small RNA is filed under the name Arabidopsis thaliana (thale cress). RNAcentral's name for it is "ATSL260370". Lineage: Eukaryota; Viridiplantae; Streptophyta; Magnoliopsida; Brassicales; Brassicaceae. The record is from RNAcentral.
UCUUUUUUGCUAAGAAUCUUUUGACUUUACACGCAUUCUCAAACUCGAACUAGGGAGGAGACUCACAUAAUUACGUCUCCACUAAUGCAUAUAUCGUCUACUUUGGUAAAAGUCCUAUCUCUUGGUCUGCAAA